This 148-nucleotide non-coding RNA is filed under the name Pan troglodytes (chimpanzee). Lineage: Eukaryota; Metazoa; Chordata; Mammalia; Primates; Hominidae. The record is from Rfam by way of RNAcentral.
GCUGGGCGUGGUGGCGGGCGCCUGUAGUCCCAGCUACUCAGGAGGCUGAGGCAGGAGAAUCGCUUGAACCCAGGAGGCAGAGGUUGCAGUGAGCUGAGAUCAUACCACUGCACUCCAGCCUGGGCGACAGAGCGAGACUCCGUCUCAU